UCCAAUUAUUCCCAAAAGCUUAGAAAUUGUGUUUAGUUUAUAAAACUGGGCUAUUGUGCAAAUUGGAUGUGAGAAGUUUGACAUUUUGGUUAAGAGAAGGCGAGAAGGUUAGUUUUCAAAUGAAUUUGAGCAAGGUGCACUCCUAGUAGGCUAUAGAGCCCAUCCUUUGAAAUUUGAAGCUAAAAUGUUGAGGUAGUUUGGGUGGUUGGCCGAGCAUGGGGAGUUGCUAGGUGAGACGGUUAAGCAUUUUUGGUUGAAAAAGGUUAGUGAUGGGCUGAUGGGCUUGUUGAACACACAGCUCGUGUGCAAAGUAAGCCACACAUAAGUCUGCGCACGCGAGAACGGCUAUACGAGAUGCAAGGCGCAUGACAUAUCCCUCUUGUGAGGUUAGCACACGACAAGGCUUACACAGGCCAUGCGCGUGCGUGCCAGCCUCUAUCGCUCAUCCUUACACACCAGCCAUGCUAAAUAUGUGUUUUAGGGUUUUUUUUGUAUUUUUAGGAAUUUUAAGUAGAAUUUUGAUAUUUUUAUUAUUAAAGGGAAUUAAAUGGAAAUAUUUCCUGUUAUUUUAGGACAAGGAGAUUGUGAAGGAAACAUCCGACUAAAGACUAAUUGAACUAUUGUGAGUGACAAAAUGAGCUUAAAGUUGAUUUCUAAGAAUGAUUUAUUAUUAAGUGUUUAAAACAUACUUUGAUAUAUGAAUAUUUGAGUAUACUGAUUUAGAAA
Long non-coding RNA from Cucumis sativus (cucumber), 726 nucleotides. RefSeq lists it as uncharacterized. Lineage: Eukaryota; Viridiplantae; Streptophyta; Magnoliopsida; Cucurbitales; Cucurbitaceae. The record is from RefSeq and is a predicted model, not a curated record. The transcript has 2 exons.